GACGAACGCUGGCGGCGUGCCUAAUACGUGCAAGUAGAACGCUGAAGAGAGGAGCUUGCUCUUCUUGGAUGAGUUGCGAACGGGUGAGUAACGCGUAGGUAACCUGCCUUGUAGCGGGGGAUAACUAUUGGAAACGAUAGCUAAUACCGCAUAACAAUGGAUGACACAUGUCAUUUAUUUGAAAGGGGCAAUUGCUCCACUACAAGAUGGACCUGCGUUGUAUUAGCUAGUAGGUGAGGUAACGGCUCACCUAGGCGACGAUACAUAGCCGACCUGGGAGGGUGAUCGGCCACACUGGGACUGAGACACGGCCCAGACUCCUACGGGAGGCAGCAGUAGGGAAUCUUCGGCAAUGGGGGCAACCCUGACCGAGCAACGCCGCGUGAGUGAAGAAGGUUUUCGGAUCGUAAAGCUCUGUUGUAAGUCAAGAACGAGUGUGAGAGUGGAAAGUUCACACUGUGACGGUAGCUUACCAGAAAGGGACGGCUAACUACGUGCCAGCAGCCGCGGUAAUACGUAGGUCCCGAGCGUUGUCCGGAUUUAUUGGGCGUAAAGCGAGCGCAGGCGGUUUGAUAAGUCUGAAGUUAAAGGCUGUGGCUCAACCAUAGUUCGCUUUGGAAACUGUCAAACUUGAGUGCAGAAGGGGAGAGUGGAAUUCCAUGUGUAGCGGUGAAAUGCGUAGAUAUAUGGAGGAACACCGGUGGCGAAAGCGGCUCUCUGGUCUGUAACUGACGCUGAGGCUCGAAAGCGUGGGGAGCGAACAGGAUUAGAUACCCUGGUAGUCCACGCCGUAAACGAUGAGUGCUAGGUGUUGGAUCCUUUCCGGGAUUCAGUGCCGCAGCUAACGCAUUAAGCACUCCGCCUGGGGAGUACGACCGCAAGGUUGAAACUCAAAGGAAUUGACGGGGGCCCGCACAAGCGGUGGAGCAUGUGGUUUAAUUCGAAGCAACGCGAAGAACCUUACCAGGUCUUGACAUCCCGAUGCUAUUUCUAGAGAUAGAAAGUUACUUCGGUACAUCGGUGACAGGUGGUGCAUGGUUGUCGUCAGCUCGUGUCGUGAGAUGUUGGGUUAAGUCCCGCAACGAGCGCAACCCCUAUUGUUAGUUGCCAUCAUUCAGUUGGGCACUCUAGCGAGACUGCCGGUAAUAAACCGGAGGAAGGUGGGGAUGACGUCAAAUCAUCAUGCCCCUUAUGACCUGGGCUACACACGUGCUACAAUGGUUGGUACAACGAGUUGCGAGUCGGUGACGGCAAGCUAAUCUCUUAAAGCCAAUCUCAGUUCGGAUUGUAGGCUGCAACUCGCCUACAUGAAGUCGGAAUCGCUAGUAAUCGCGGAUCAGCACGCCGCGGUGAAUACGUUCCCGGGCCU
Molecule: ribosomal RNA, 1369 nt
Filed under: uncultured bacterium
Lineage: Bacteria
Description: bacterial SSU rRNA
Rfam family: Bacterial small subunit ribosomal RNA
Source: RNAcentral